Molecule: ribosomal RNA, 253 nt
Filed under: uncultured bacterium
Lineage: Bacteria
Description: partial 16S ribosomal RNA
Rfam family: Bacterial small subunit ribosomal RNA
Source: RNAcentral
UACGGGGGGGGCAAGCGUUGUUCGGAAUUACUGGGCGUAAAGGGCGCGUAGGCGGCCAUCUAAGUCAGACGUGAAAUCCCUCGGCUCAACCGAGGAACUGCGUCUGAUACUGGAAGGCUUGAAUCCGGGAGAGGGAUGUGGAAUUCCAGGUGUAGCGGUGAAAUGCGUAGAUAUCUGGAGGAACACCGGUGGCGAAGGCGGCUCGCUGGACCGGUUCUGACGCUGAGGCGCGAAAGCGUGGGGAGCGAACAGG